CACGUAGGCGGCCAUUCAAGUCAGAGGUGAAAGCCCGGGGCUCAACCCCGGAACUGCCUUUGAAACUAGAUGGCUUGAAUCUUGGAGAGGCGAGUGGAAUUCCGAGUGUAGAGGUGAAAUUCGUAGAUAUUCGGAGGAACACCAGUGGCGAAGGCGGCUUACUGGUCCAUCACUGACGCUGAGGUGCGAAAGCGUGGGGAGCAAACA
Molecule: ribosomal RNA, 207 nt
Filed under: uncultured bacterium
Lineage: Bacteria
Description: partial 16S ribosomal RNA
Rfam family: Bacterial small subunit ribosomal RNA
Source: RNAcentral